This is an RNA transcript of Phragmites australis (common reed), 2626 nucleotides long. RefSeq lists it as uncharacterized. NCBI's taxonomy places the organism in Eukaryota, Viridiplantae, Streptophyta, Magnoliopsida, Poales, Poaceae. The record is from RefSeq and is a predicted model, not a curated record. The transcript is spliced from 16 exons.
AGAGCACUUGUCGCCACAGAAAUCGCACGCGACUCCGAGCAGCCGCCCUCCGCCACAACUUGACCAUGGGCGCGCCCUAGCCCCGCCCUUCUUAUCCCCGCCCGGCCCCACCUAUGGCUACUGCUGCUGCUGACGCCGCCGCGCUGCUCCUCCCAUGGCUCUCCUCGCGCUACGCCUCGGGCCUCUCAUCCCAGCCCCGCGCCGCCGCUGGAGCCGGAGCCGUUGCCGGAUCGUCGCCUCCAAUGCCGCCGCCCCCGUGACGUGCGCGCGGAGCGGGGGCGCGGCCGCGGUGGUGUGGUUCAAGCACGAUCUUCGCGUCGACGACCACCCGGGCCUCGCCGCCGCCGCCGCGGAGCCGCGGCGCCCCGUCGUGCCGCUCUACGUCUUCGAUCGCCGCAUCCUCGCUGGCUAUUCAGACAAAAAGCUGGAACUUCUGCUUUUUGCUUUGAAAGAUCUUAAGAUGGCUUUGAAAUCUCAAGAGUCUGAUCUGCUCAUAGGCUUGGGAAAUGCUGAAGAUAUUGUUCUGAAGCUUGUGAAUGAGGUACAAGCAGGUCUUAUUUUUACAGAAGUGGAGGUUGAAUACAGAGUGCACAGUGUUUUGGCCAAUGUUGAAUCAUCUUUGUCCAAUGGAUCAUUCUCAUGGGGAAACCCUCCCAAGAUAGUGUCUUGGAGUACUCCGUUGUAUGACUAUAAGAGUUUGACAGAAGUACCGACGUCACACAACCAAUUUUUGAAGGCAAAAUUACCAAUGAGCGCACCUCUUUCUGCCCCAACUUUGCCUGCUCUAAAUGUGGAUUUAGAUGCAGGUUCUCUACCCACAUUGGAAGAACUAAAAGGGUUCCUGAAAGACAGUAGAAUGCAAGAGGAUAGUUGGAUUCCUCUCAAGAGCAUGUCUGCAAAAUCUAUUCUAAAAAAGACUUUCGAUCAAAGAAAGAUCAAAAGUAGUUCUACAUCAACGAUCAGCAAUGGAGGAAGCAUUGAGGAUACCACCAUGGAUUCUGGUACAUCAGGGAGGAGGAUUAUGAAUUCAAUGUUUGCAUCAGAAAGCUCACUUGAAGUUAGAGGUGGAACUGAAAUUACUUUGGAUGCUUUAGCUGCUUACCUAAAAUACCUGGAAGGCACAGGAAAAGCUAGUUGGCAAGAGUUGCAUGAUAAAGUGCGCUUAGCUGAAACCAGGGAUGGUGCCUCGUUCUACAGCUUGUUUGGUACUGCAAUUCAGCUUGGAGUCAUAUCCAGGAGGAGAGUUUACCAUGAAGCUAUUCAAUACGAGAAAGAUCGAAACGCCGGUUUUUUAUCACCAUUUGGGUACUCAACACCUACAGUUACAGCUGCAGUAGAUGCUAUCUAUUCCAUGGAGUGGUACUGGCUUUUGUCAUUGAAAUCCCAAGUAUGCAUUGAGGAAAAUUAUCCUAUAAGAAUCUGGAGAUGGAAGGGUUAUCAUGUACAGUAUACCUUUUUUGGCCAUGAAGGUCCUGCUGUCCUUCUUGUGCAUGGCUUUGGAGCUUUCCUGGAGCACUUUCGUGACAAUAUAGGCAAUAUUGCUGAUGCGGGCCACCGAGUUUGGGCAAUCACCCUUGUUGGCUUUGGAAAAUCAGAGAAACCAAAUGUCAACUAUUCAGAACUUUUCUGGUCAGAAUUACUGAGGGACUUCAUUAGUGAUGUCGUGAGGGAGCCUGUUCAUCUUGUUGGCAACUCUAUUGGAGGUUAUAUUGGUGCUAUUACUGCUGGCUUAUGGCCUUCUGUUGCAAAGUCUCUGGUUCUUUUAAACUCAGCUGGUUCAAUUGUUCCAAAUUACCCGUUCAUCCCAUUAAGUGAAGAAAGACGAACAUCAUGGCUUUCCAGGUUGUCCGCACAGCUUCUUUUGCUCUUCUUGAGGACAAGGGUAGAAGGCGUUCUUAAGGAAUACUAUCCUACAAGAACUGAACGGGUAGACAAGUCACUUGUGGACCAGAUUAUAAGAGCUUCAUAUGAUCCUGGGGCAGCAACAGUUAUUGAGAGCAUAUUCAACUUCAAUCUUUCGAUUCCUCUUAAUUUUUUAUUUGAUUCUUUUGGAGGAAGAAUCUUAGUUAUCCAGGGGAUGAAAGACCCCCUUACAAAAUCCGAAGCGUUUGUUACCAUGUUCCGAGAGCAUUGCAGCAAGGUCCAUAUUCGAGAGUUAGAUGCAGGUCAUGCUCCACACGAUGAAGUUCCAGAUGAAGUAAAUUCCCUACUGUGUGAAUGGAUGAAAGAGCUUGAAGUUAAGCCGACCUUGGAGAAGUCCAAGGCAAUUUAGUGAACGAAGGACCGGAGGGUGACGCGGGCGUGAUCAAGGGCGAUCCGGAUGUUGUUUCCCUUGCUUGUGAUCAAGCUGAGCACCAAGUUUGCAGGCGAGGAAAGGUUAGCUUCUGGCUACUUUAUGUUUGCCGGUGCCGGUGGCGGGCAAGAGUAGUGUCGUCUACUCGUGUAACUAGGUUUGGGUGGAGCCUAAGGGUAUAUGGUUCCACCGGUCUUUUUAUUGUUGUUAAGUUUUAAUUCUUUCGCUGUGUAGUUUAUUCCUUUUGUUGUAAAAUGUGUAAAUGGUUGAAUGCUUAAGAACUUGUAAUAUGAUGUUAAUUACCCGCUCUUUCUUAAGCUUUGUUGUAAUGUA